UACAGAGGUCUCAAGCGUUGUUCGGAUUUAUUGGGCGUAAAGCGCGUGUAGGCGGCCAGGUAGGUCCGCUGUGAAAACCCGAGGCUCAACCUCGGGACGUCGGCGGAAACCAUCUGGCUAGAGUCCGGAAGAGGAGAGUGGAAUUCCCGGUGUAGCGGUGAAAUGCGCAGAUAUCGGGAAGAACACCCGUGGCGAAGGCGGCUCUCUGGGACGGUACUGACGCUGAGACGCGAAAGCGUGGGGAGCGAACAGG
Molecule: ribosomal RNA, 253 nt
Filed under: uncultured bacterium
Lineage: Bacteria
Description: partial 16S ribosomal RNA
Rfam family: Bacterial small subunit ribosomal RNA
Source: RNAcentral